GACGAACGCUGGCGGCGUGCUUAACACAUGCAAGUCGAACGGACAGGCCCUGCUUUUGUGGCGUGCUCGUGUGGCGAACGGGUGAGUAAAACGUGAGUAACAUGCCCUUGACUUUGGGAUAACUUCAGGAAACUGGGGCUAAUACCGGAUAUGAGCUCCUGCUGCAUGGUGGGGGUUGGAAAGUUUCGGCGGUUGGGGAUCGACUCGCGGCUUAUCCGCUUGUUGGUGGGGUAGUGACUUACCAAGGCUUUGACGGGUAGCCGGCCUGAGAGGUUGACCGGCGACAUUGGGACUGAGAGACGGCCCAGACUCCUACGGUAGGCAGCAGUGGGGAAUAUUGCACAAUGGGCGGAAGCCUGAUGCAGCAAUGCCGCGUGCGUGAUGAUGGCUUUCGGGUUGUAAACCGCUUUCGCCUGUGACGAAGCGUGAGUGACGGUAAUUGGUAAAGAAGCACCGGCUAACUACGUG
Molecule: ribosomal RNA, 468 nt
Filed under: uncultured bacterium
Lineage: Bacteria
Description: partial 16S ribosomal RNA
Rfam family: Bacterial small subunit ribosomal RNA
Source: RNAcentral